CAGGGCCUGGAGGACCUCCUUCACCUCCGCCUUCGCAGAGUCGUUCUCCGUCUGCAGCCUGCCGAGCUCCGACUGCACCUUCUCGCUGUCGCCCCUGGAUGAUGCUAGAAGCUGAGAGGCACGGAGGUUUAACAGCUUAAUACAAACGUGUUUUGCAGACAUGCAGCCUGGUGUGGGCCGUUUAACCAAACUGAUGAAAAGGAAGCAGAAGAAAGGUCUUUUACCUCCUCCUGGUCGAGCAUCUGCUCCUUCAGCUUCUCCACCAUCUGGCUCUGGUGGUUGAUCUCAUCAUCCUUUAGUGAAAUGUGAACCACAAUGGACGACGCAAUGGAGCAGGGGCUGCAGGGGCUGCAGGGGCUGCAGGGGCUGCAGAUGUCGAGAACCGGCUCCUCGGAUCCCGGAGGCACCAGGGUAACCUCCUCCAAUCCCUCACUCGACUGCCCCGACACAACAACAUCCUCACCUAAAGAUGAGAGACCAGAAUAUUAGAUUUUAUUUGAACCAUAUGGGAAGCUUCUACUUCUGGUUCUUGUGUGACUCAGCACUGAUUUGACUGAUAUGAUGAACUGUGGCUGAAGAUAAGAGAAUCAAUGUGGAAACUGAGCGCUUUAGACAAGGUCAAGAAAAAUCAAUUAAGACAAUACACCUUUCACAGCCUAGGUUGUCCUGUGUAGUUGAGGGUGUGCACAUCACUAAAAGCAGCUUCCAGGUUAAAGGUAACAAAAACCUGCACUGCACACCGUACAAGAUUCCCGCUCUAGACUGGAGAGAAUUUACUGUUGAGACAGCUGCUCCUGUCUUUGGGCCAUCAUUGACUAAAGAGUCGGGUAAUGUGGUGCAAGAUGGAGGUCAACGGCAUCCGUCUCAGGGAGUUCCUGGCCUGAGGUGGGCAACAACACAGGGAGCAGUGAGGAGGGAGUGGGGGCAAUGAUGUUGUCAAAAUGAUCCAUUAGGAAAUUAAAAGUACUAAAUUGUAAGAGAGACGGAGAGGAAGGGAGUGGAGAGAGAGAGAGUGUGUGUGUGUGUGUGUGAAGGAGAAUCAGCUGAGUGGGAUGAAGCGAUAAAAGGAAUAUUUUUCACUGAUAGCUGUUCGAUAAAGAUGCAUUGCAGCGUUUUUAAAAUUCAGGAUCAAACGCUGAGGGAAUGAUCUUCUAGAAAAACACAGGACGGGAUUCAUUACACUGCCUGAAUGUCAACCAAUCACUGCCAUUGAGAGCACUGACAUUUGGAUUGACCUCAGGUCCAGCAGGAGAGGAUAGAUGUGUGUGUGAGUGUGUGUGUGUAAUUAUGAGGGAGUAUGUGUGUGUAGCGCUUCAUGAGCUUGUGUCCUUGUGCGUGUACUGACACAGAGGUUGUGCGUGAAGACAUGGAAGAGGACCAGUGUAAGUUAUGACUUUUCUGUAGAUGUGAUUAGCCCUUGUUGCUGCGAGGAUUAUUAAUACAUACAGAUUCAUAAAACAUAAAGCUUCCAGUGUUUCUUCCCUCCAGCACAAUGUGAGGGUAAUCCACUUAUACAAAGAGUAAAAGUCAGAAUAAUAUGAAACAGAAAUAGCCAGACAGGGAUUUUUAAGUGUUUUGGGCACAAGUCCAGAGAGUGUGUUUGGCUGCUCCCUUCCCAUAUCUCCACUGGCAUGUAUUUGGAAUGAGGUUAAAUCUGCACUUAUGUGGACUGAGAAGUAAUGUCUGCAUGCGAGCAGGCUGCUGUUAGUGAGUACUCUUCCAUGCAGUUAGAGAGACUGGAACAGGGAUGUGUAGUUAAGUGGUUUUUCUAUAGGGGAUUAUAUAGCGGCUGUACCAGCGACCUCCAGCACAAACCCCUCUUACUUUUGAGUGGAAGCUUGUCAGGUGAUCUUUUCCACCAAACAUAAAAUCCUGAUUCAGGAUUCUGGUUUACAGCUGUUUUUAUAAAACUGUAUCAUUUAUUAGCAUAAUUUGAUGACAAGUCACAGCCACGUUAGUAGCUAUGAGUAGGUUUUACAACAUGGAAGUCUGCAGCUUGAGGCUACGUUGGCUGCAACUAGCAUAACACACCCAAAACAACUGAACUGUCGGUGUUUGAGUUGCACUGUGGGAAAUACAGGAAUGUUCUGUUUGACAAGAAGGAGAAUAUAUGGAAUAUAGGGGACAGCUGCAGCAAUGUUUCUCAGUCAAAAAUCUCCACCGGAUGAUGAGGCUAAAUGAGAAGUCAAAAUAAUUCACCCUCUAACGACCAUGACUGUUUCAUGGUGAAUCAUCCACUGGUUGUUGAAAUAAUUCCAGUCGGCAAAGAUGUCGGGCCGCCUGUGCGGUUAAAAAUAUGAACUUAUUUUU
Lates calcarifer (barramundi perch) is the source of this 2310-nucleotide long non-coding RNA. RefSeq lists it as uncharacterized. The transcript is spliced from 4 exons. Lineage: Eukaryota; Metazoa; Chordata; Actinopteri; Centropomidae. The record is from RefSeq and is a predicted model, not a curated record.